ACUGUCAGCACAGAGCCUGAUGCGGGGCUCCAACUCGCGAACCGUGGCAUCGCGACCCGAGGCGAAAUCAGGAGUGAGGCACCGAACCAGGCUGCUUCCAUCCCUCUCCUCUGCCGGGCCCCCUCCCCUGCCCUGGGUCUGACUGCCGGACCACCCCACGGCUCCGUCCUGGGUCGUCGUCCUCUCCUUACGUGACCUCAUCCGCUUCCACGCCGUUAAACAUCAUCUUCACGGUUCUGACUUCUGAAGCCGGUUCUCCUGGCAACAGCUUAUCUUCCUGUGCGAGACAGUGGCACGGCCAUUUGGAGGUGCACUUUGCUCAGC
Prionailurus viverrinus (fishing cat) is the source of this 324-nucleotide long non-coding RNA. RefSeq lists it as uncharacterized. The record is from RefSeq and is a predicted model, not a curated record. The transcript is spliced from 3 exons. Lineage: Eukaryota; Metazoa; Chordata; Mammalia; Carnivora; Felidae.